Molecule: ribosomal RNA, 429 nt
Filed under: Acidobacteriota bacterium
Lineage: Bacteria; Pseudomonadati; Acidobacteriota
Description: Acidobacteria bacterium partial 16S ribosomal RNA
Rfam family: Bacterial small subunit ribosomal RNA
Source: RNAcentral
UGGGGAAUUUUGGACAAUGGGGGAAACCCUGAUCCAGCCAUCCCGCGUGUGCGAUGAAGGCCUUCGGGUUGUAAAGCACUUUUGGCAGGAAAGAAACGUCAUGGGUUAAUACCCCGUGAAACUGACGGUACCUGCAGAAUAAGCACCGGCUAACUACGUGCCAGCAGCCGCGGUAAUACGUAGGGUGCAAGCGUUAAUCGGAAUUACUGGGCGUAAAGCGUGCGCAGGCGGUUCGGAAAGAAAGAUGUGAAAUCCCAGAGCUCAACUUUGGAACUGCAUUUUUAACUACCUGGCUAGGGUGUGUCAGAGGGAGGUGGAAUUCCUCGUGUAGCAGUGAAAUGCGUAGAUAUGCGGAGGAACACCGAUGGCGAAGGCAGCCUCCUGGGAUAACACUGACGCUCAUGCACGAAAGCGUGGGGAGCAAACAGG